CCUUGGGCUGAAGUGCCAGCUUCGAGUGUGAACAAGACCGCGGGCGGGGAUGUUUGACAUAGCUGGCUCGGGUGGUUUGAGUCCCCUCAGCGCUCCAGAAGCCUCGUUUCCAUGCCAACCGUUGCCGCUGCGCUCACGGGCUGGUAUCACUCUGAAGCGGGUCCUGAAAGGAUGCCAAGGGAACACUUUCUGCUAGAAGCGGGUCAUUUGCAUGCCAUUUGCAUACUCAGUCAUUUUUCUGGGUUCUCCCCAAACAGGGGCCAGUUGACACAUUCGUAGGUCACAAGACAGUGCGUGACUGGAUGAGACCUUGGGGUCUGUCCCUGGGGAGACGGUGAGUCUUUUCUCUGUGUGGAAUGGAAGGCACUCAUGGGCGUGUGUUGGCCAAAGGGGUGGACUGUGGCAGAGACUGCUCGUGUACGGAGACGUCUGUGUCACUUCCUGUCCCCCUGGGUGCUCCACGAGGCCACAUUCCCAGCAGUGAGCUGGUCAAGUGACUGAAUUAUGGCCAAAGGAAUGCGGGCAGAGGGAGGCACACCACCUCCAGGCCUGGCCCCGAAAAUCCCGCAUUUUUCUCCGCAUCUCCUCUGUUUUCAUUCCCCGGCUGGACGAUGCCAAGGUGACCUUGGCAGCUGUGUGUUGAAGGUGCAGGUGCACGAAACAGAAGGACCCGGGUCCCUGGAUGACUGCCUGCGUGGAGCUGAGCCCUGGGUGCCCCACGUUGGGUGGUGACGGCCUCGAUCCUGUCCCUGCUGCCUGGAAAUCUCCUGCUCUGUUUGGUCAAAUUCACCUGUUAUCCUUCGGAUCUGAGCCCAAAUGUCACUUCCUCAGGGAAGGAUUCCCGGCACCCUCAGACGGGACUGUGUCCCCGUGUCUCAGUUGUGGAUCUCAGCGCCUUGCAGGCACCUUCUCAGCACCCGUUCCAGAGCACAAGAUGGAAAGAGAGCUCCUUCCUGGACGUCUAAGCUUGCGGGCCUCCGGAGCCCGUUCACCUCCUCAGUGGUGCUGUGUAGGAUAUCGGCCUAGCUGCUGUGACAGAGAGAUUCUGACCCCCGUGGUACACAAGACCGAGUGAAUGGGAUGGGGGGCCGGAGGAGGGAGAGGGUGCUGUCUGCUCCUCCCACUUUGUGGUCCACUGAGGUCGGGGCACUCUGGCAUCCUCCAGACCUCCGUUUCCGAGUUCAG
Molecule: long non-coding RNA, 1185 nt
Filed under: Equus caballus (horse)
Lineage: Eukaryota; Metazoa; Chordata; Mammalia; Perissodactyla; Equidae
Description: lncRNA (ENSECAG00000048558.1)
Source: RNAcentral